RNAcentral lists this ribosomal RNA (506 nucleotides) under uncultured bacterium. RNAcentral's name for it is "partial 16S ribosomal RNA". It matches the Rfam family "Bacterial small subunit ribosomal RNA", at positions 29 to 523 of the family's 1533-position model. The record is from RNAcentral.
AGUGAACGCUGGCGGUAGGCCUAACACAUGCAAGUCGAACGGCAGCACAGAGGAGCUUGCUCCUCGGGUGGCGAGUGGCGGACGGGUGAGGAAUACAUCGGAAUCUACUCUGUCGUGGGGGAUAACGUAGGGAAACUUACGCUAAUACCGCAUACGACCUCCGGGUGAAAGCAGGGGACCUUCGGGCCUUGCGCGAUUGAAUGAGCCGAUGUCGGAUUAGCUAGUUGGCGGGGUAAAGGCCCACCAAGGCGACGAUCCGUAGCUGGUCUGAGAGGCUGACCAGCCACACUGGAACUGAGACACGGGCCAGAGUCCUACGGGAGGCAGCAGUGGAUAAUAUUGGACAAUGGGAUCGAGCCUUAUCCAGCCAUACCGCGUGGGUGAAGAAGGCCUUCGGGUUGUAAAGCCCUUUUGUUGGGAAAGAAAUCCAGCUGGCUAAUACCUGGUUGGGAUGACGGUACCCAAAGAAUAAUCACCGGCUAACUUCGUGCCAGCCGCCGCGGUAA